This 253-nucleotide ribosomal RNA is filed under the name uncultured bacterium. Its description in RNAcentral is "partial 16S ribosomal RNA". It matches the Rfam family "Bacterial small subunit ribosomal RNA", at positions 524 to 776 of the family's 1533-position model. The record is from RNAcentral.
UACGUAGGGUGCAAGCGUUGUCCGGAAUUAUUGGGCGUAAAGAGCUCGUAGGCGGUUUGUUGCGUCGGCUGUGAAAUCCCGAGGCUCAACCUCGGGUCUGCAGUCGAUACGGGCGGACUGGAGUUCGGCAGGGAGACUGGAAUUCCUGGUGUAGCGGUGAAAUGCGGCAGAUAUCAGGAGGAACACCGGUGGCGAAGGCGGGUCUCUGGGCCGAGUACUGACGCUGAGGAGCGAAGCGUGGGGAGCGAACAGG